GAUGAACGCUGGCGGCGUGCCUAAUACAUGCAAGUCGAGCGAACAGACGAGGCGCUUGCUCCUCUCACGUUAGGGGAGGACGGGGGAGUAACACGUGGAACCCCUCCCUAUCAGACUGGGAAAUCUUCGGGAAUCCGGAGCUAAUCCCGGAUAACAUGUUGAACCGCAGGGUUGAACAGAAAAAGACGGUGUUGCUGUAACGUCUCGAUGGCUACGCGCCGCAUUAGCUGGUUGGUAAGUUAACGGCUUACCAAGGCAACGCUGCGUAGCCGACCUGAGAGGCGGAUCGGCCACACGGGAGCUGGGCCACCGUCCAUACUCCUACGAGACGCCCCAGUAGGGUACCGUCCGCAACAGGCGAAAGCCUUACGGAGCAGCGCCACGUGAGUUAUGACGGUCUUCGGAUCGUAAAACUCUGUUACUAGUGAAGAACAAAUUUGUAAGGAACUAUGCACGUCUUGACGGUACCUGAUCAGAAAGCCACGGCUAACUACGUG
This 497-nucleotide ribosomal RNA is filed under the name uncultured bacterium. RNAcentral's name for it is "partial 16S ribosomal RNA". It matches the Rfam family "Bacterial small subunit ribosomal RNA", at positions 28 to 507 of the family's 1533-position model. The record is from RNAcentral.